Molecule: signal recognition particle RNA, 316 nt
Filed under: Methanosarcinales archaeon
Lineage: Archaea; Methanobacteriati; Methanobacteriota; Methanomicrobia; Methanosarcinales
Also listed under: 1 other name
Description: signal recognition particle sRNA
Rfam family: Archaeal signal recognition particle RNA
Source: RNAcentral
CGGCGGGCAAGUCCGGGUGGUUCGUCGUCACCUGUAAUCCGAAAUCGUCGAUACGCGGAGGACGAAGCUGAUGGGCGACUUAAUGCGCCGCCUGUUCAGUCCAGCUGUGGACAAUGAUUCUCCGUCCUGUAGGGCCAGCACUGGCGUGAGGGCCAGCCGGAGGGCAGGUCUUUGCGUCUUAAUUGUGGGCACCGGUUCAGGCCCGGAAGGGAGCAGACCUACAGCAGUUCGCUGACGCUUACAUGAAGGCGGGGAUGAGAAAGCUCCUGGAUCAACUGGCAAGCGGCGUUUCUGGCAACCGUCGGCGCACCCGCCU